AGUGAACGCUGGCGGUAGGCCUAACACAUGCAAGUCGAACGGCAGCACAGUAAGAGCUUGCUCUUACGGGUGGCGAGUGGCGGACGGGUGAGGAAUACAUCGGAAUCUACUUUUUCGUGGGGGAUAACGUAGGGAAACUUACGCUAAUACCGCAUACGACCUACGGGUGAAAGCAGGGGAUCUUCGGACCUUGCGCGAUUGAAUGAGCCGAUGUCGGAUUAGCUAGUUGGCGGGGUAAAGGCCCACCAAGGCGACGAUCCGUAGCUGGUCUGAGAGGAUGAUCAGCCACACUGGAACUGAGACACGGUCCAGAUUCCUACGGGAGGCAGCAGUGGGGAAUAUUGGACAAUGGGCGCAAGCCUGAUCCAGCCAUACCGCGUGGGUGAGGAAGGCCUUCGGGUUGUAAAGCCCUUUUGUUGGGAAAGAAAAGCAGCAGGUUAAUACCCCGCUGUUCUGACGGUACCCAAAGAAUAAGCACCGGCUAACUUCGUG
RNAcentral lists this ribosomal RNA (492 nucleotides) under uncultured bacterium. RNAcentral's name for it is "partial 16S ribosomal RNA". It matches the Rfam family "Bacterial small subunit ribosomal RNA", at positions 29 to 507 of the family's 1533-position model. The record is from RNAcentral.